UUACGGUUUAUAUCCAUUUUCUUUAAUGUUAUACAUAACGUUUAAGACCGUUAUGAAAGUUUAAUAUUAACCGUUAUGUGUACAAUCUAUACAUAACAGUUGUUUUUUUUAAUAACACUUAUUUAUCCGUUAUGUAUAAUGUUUUACAUAACGUGUUUAAUCCGUAAUUAAAUUUUUAUUUCUUUGUUAUUUAUUUGUUUUUACAUAACGGUUUUCUUCAUAUACAUUACACUCAUCUGUGUGAUCUUUGAAUGUUAUAAUAACAUCAAAUCGAUGUUUAGAUAACGUUUUUUAACGUUAUGUAUGUUUUAAUACAUAACAGUUAUAUAUUUUAAAUUUUUCGUUUUGUAUGCUAAUGACAGCUUUUAAUUAUAAUUGAUUUGCAAUUAAAAUUAAUUCUAAAACAACAAAAUAAUAAAAACCAACCAAUCAUAUGCAACCACCAUCCAACCAUAUAACUUCACAAAAUAUUUGUACAAUCACCA
RNAcentral lists this long non-coding RNA (485 nucleotides) under Salvia miltiorrhiza (redroot sage). RNAcentral describes it as "long non-coding RNA (SMIL_LNC007802)". Lineage: Eukaryota; Viridiplantae; Streptophyta; Magnoliopsida; Lamiales; Lamiaceae. The record is from RNAcentral.